UGAGGAAUAUUGGUCAAUGGGCGGGAGCCUGAACCAGCCAAGCCGCGUGAGGGAUGAAGGCCCUAUGGGUCGUAAACCUCUUUUGUCAGGGAACAAAAGCGAGUAUGUAUACUAGUCUGAGUGUACCUGUAGAAAAAGCAUCGGCUAACUCCGUGCCAGCAGCCGCGGUAAUACGGAGGAUGCGAGCGUUAUCCGGAUUUAUUGGGUUUAAAGGGUGCGUAGGCGGCGGUGCAAGUCAGCGGUAAAAGCCCGGGGCUCAACCCCGGCGAGCCGUUGAAACUGCAGUGCUAGAGAAGGCGAGAGGUACGCGGAAUGCGCAGUGUAGCGGUGAAAUGCUUAGAUAUUGCGCAGAACUCCGAUUGCGAAGGCAGCGUACUGGCGCCUGACUGACGCUGAGGCACGAAAGCGUGGGGAUCGAACAGGAUUAGAUACCC
This 434-nucleotide ribosomal RNA is filed under the name uncultured bacterium. RNAcentral's name for it is "bacterial SSU rRNA". It matches the Rfam family "Bacterial small subunit ribosomal RNA", at positions 355 to 787 of the family's 1533-position model. The record is from RNAcentral.